AGUCAAUAGAAGAAAAAGCCAAACCUUAGAGUUCGCUGCCGGUACAGUGCCUAUUCCUUAUGAGUUCUAGGCGUCUUCUAGGCUUUCACCCUCUGCCAGUCAGCUAUCGAGAUUGAGAUGCCUGCCUCAAAACCAGUCAUCCGAGUGGGGCCCUGCGACAUGUGCCAUAUUUAGGUUGCUUGCGACUGAGACUUUUAGGGAUUUAGAUAACAUCCGGUCGGGAAAGAGCCACUACUUGGCUUAAUUAAUUGAAGGAAAAUUAGAUCCCUCUUCGACAUCAGAUUCUUAUCCUCUUUUCCGGGGGAAAGGAUGUUUUAUUCUCUACGGCCCAAGGAAAAAGUGGUCUGCUUUAUGGAAUCUUAACUCAGCAAGGGGUGUCGCUUUCGUUUUCAAUAAGGACGUUUAGUAGGAGGUACUUGCCCUUAGAACCAUAAGAUUGACAUUGGCGAGUCGCCUUUUUCUUUUUACAUGAAAGGUGGGUAGGGGAUCUUAAUACUGCCAAAGAGCUCGAGUAGAUUCAUGAAUGUCCUGGAAUUUCAGUAUGGGCAAAAGAGGUCGAGAGAGUCUUAUGCCGCGCAAUCUCUUGCCGAAUCUAUUUAGACUAUGUUAAAUCCAUAACCCGAGAACACACAUUUGCGAAUCCGGCCUAAAGGGGAGGCUCU
This 662-nucleotide long non-coding RNA is filed under the name Nicotiana benthamiana. RNAcentral describes it as "long non-coding RNA (NBEN_LNC016451)". Lineage: Eukaryota; Viridiplantae; Streptophyta; Magnoliopsida; Solanales; Solanaceae. The record is from RNAcentral.